GGUAACUGAAUUUAGUAAAAUUUGAGUAAAUCUCGUGACAUAUAUGAAACAAAUCGAAGUCACUUGGAUGUUGUUAAUUUGUUGAAAGAAUUUCUCCGUCCUUUGUGGUGAUGAUGAGUUAACAACUACGUACGAUGCUUUUGUUUAUCUUACAGCUAGCUGAGUAGUUAGAGUUUAAGUUCCGUUUUGCAUAAGCCUAAUUUUGGAACAUCUGAACGGGUGACUAAAAAGCACACUUAGUGUGGUAUGAGUGAGUCAGUGCUUGGUUUCUCUCUCACUCACAUGGGCUCGCUAUAUAUAUGAAGGUAUGUGCGGGUUAGGGUUUUGAAGAGUGUUGUGUUGAGAUGGGUUGGUAUUGAGGGGAAUGUUGGCUGGCUCGAGGCUUUUCACAAAUGAGGUUCACAGUGGAUGGAACUAUAAGGCUUCGGACCAGGCUUCAUUCCCCUCAAAAGUUCUUCCUUUCAUUUGUUUCUACUUCAAACUUCAAACACAAGAUCAUGUGUGUUGUGUGUGGUUGAGAACUUGACAUGCUUCUUCUUCCUAGCUUGCAAAGGUGAGGUUGAGAGGAAUGUUGUCUGGCUCGAGGUCAUGGAGGAGGAGGAGGAGUAGAGUACUGAGAUCAGUGAAAGUUUCCAAUGGAAAUUUACCCUCUUACACAAAAAAAUGAUUCUCGGACCAGGCUUCAUUCCCCCCACCCAACUUUUGCUUUUUCCUUAAUUUAAAUUUCUUUCUCUCCAUUUUCAUAUCUCGCAUGCCCUUAUGGUAAGGCUUUCUCUUCCUUUCAUCUUUCUCUCAAUCUGCACAAAAAAAAAAAAAAUGCUCUUUCACAGUUUGUUUUUGCAGGCUCAGAAUUUUCAACUCAGUGGUGGCAAUCUUGUUUUGUAAAGGUUGUAUUUUCGUUACCUUCUUUUUUAUUACGAGUGAAUAUGCUACCUUCUCCCAAAUCCCAAGCUACAACUUACUUUAGUGAUGGAUGAACCAAUUUCUUUACAUAUAUGUGUGGCUAAAAUAGAGAAAAAAAAAGUUUGAGCUGUUUGCAUCUGCUCAGAUUAUGUAACUAUAUAUGCUCAAGUCUCCCAUGUAUAGAUUUAGUUUUCAUCAUUAAUUUGAAGGCAUUUGUAUGAAGAAUUAGUCCAUGCUUGAAAAUAUGUUAAUUUUAGAAAACAAUCAUAUAUUUUUAAACAAAUGGUUAUCUUUUCAAAAUGACUUCUUGUUUGUGUUUCCCUAUUUUUCUCUCUCAUACACCCACUCAAGAGAGAGAGAGAAGCAUUUUUACCACAGCAAAUCUGUCUAGUUUUCUGGUAUAGUAUUAAUUUAAGAUUAACAUUUCAGAGAGAUAAGAUACUACCUAUGAAAAUAUUAUUAACAAAUAAGUUGGCUAAUCACAGGCCCUCAGACCUGCGGGAAUGUUUAUUUCACGUGGACAAGAAAGCUGAAGUGAAUGAAAGCAUCAACAGUGAAAACCUAUUAUAUCAUAUGUGAAAUUCUUUUCUUUAUCUGCAACUAGCUGCUAUGCCUCUUAGGUCUUUCUAGCAUAACUUUCCUCUUCUAAAGUCCUUUCAGCUUUGAAUAUUAUUGCUUCAGCUUUCUGUCAAUAAACCUGUUUUCUGGCCGGUGAAAAUUUUAGGGAAGCCAACUUCAUAAUUUUACUUGGGGAAAAGGCUUGCCAUCAUUUUCGUCAACAUCUGAAUGAAUGUACUUCAGUGAAAUGACAGUGAUGAGUGUUGAAGGCAUGCACUCACUAGCUGCUGAAGUUGCUGAUGCAUAUACAUGUGAAAGACUAAUGAAUGAAAGAAGAGAAGAGAAGAGAUGUGCAAGAACAGUUAACGAGUAGUGAGAAUCAGGAGAAGCUACAGCUAGGGAUUCUAUGUGUCUGUGUCUGUCACUAGCUAGAGAAACGGAUACUAUAACAUGAUUAUGAUCUAUGACCACACCAUGUCAUUGCCAGCUUCCAUUAUCAUGACGAACUCAGAUGUGUGUAUCUAGCUGCAUGCAUAACUAAGCUGAUGCAAACUACACCUGGAAAAAGGAGAAAGAGGAAAUAGAGCUUCUCUUCUCUUCUCUUCUAUUAUUAUUUUGUGUCUGAUGUGUGUGUUUUAGUGUAAUGUAUUUAUGGAGCUUCUAAAGUUGUUGAAAAUGCAGAAACCAACUCAGGAAAAGCUUGGAUCAGCAAUAUCAGCUUCAUAUGCUACCUUUUCGUGGAGUCAUAGUAUGUAGUAAUAGUGAGAUGAGAUCUUUUAGCAUUUCAAAUUGCAUUAUGGGGGGAGAGAGAGAGAGUAAAUAAAUGUAGAGUAUCUGGUUUUUCUUGGGAAAUGAAACUGAGAGAAAGACACGGCUACUCGGACAUCGUUUCAUGACAAACUUGGUCUCUUUAAAGAAGUGAAACAAUUGCACUCCUUUAUUGUUGACAGCUUCAUCAUGAAUUUAUUAUCUUUUGAGCUA
Molecule: long non-coding RNA, 2442 nt
Organism: Glycine soja
Lineage: Eukaryota; Viridiplantae; Streptophyta; Magnoliopsida; Fabales; Fabaceae
Exons: 2
Source: RefSeq, a predicted model, not a curated record